UGCUUGACUAUUUAAAGAGAUAGGAAGUU
This 29-nucleotide non-coding RNA is filed under the name Rattus norvegicus (Norway rat). Lineage: Eukaryota; Metazoa; Chordata; Mammalia; Rodentia; Muridae. The record is from RNAcentral.